RNAcentral lists this unclassified non-coding RNA (1521 nucleotides) under Goleter sp. 121B. Its description in RNAcentral is "bacterial SSU rRNA". The stretch from base 1 to 1184 matches the Rfam family "Bacterial small subunit ribosomal RNA", at positions 337 to 1533 of the family's 1533-position model. Lineage: Bacteria; Bacillati; Cyanobacteriota; Cyanophyceae; Nostocales; Nodulariaceae. The record is from RNAcentral.
UCCUACGGGAGGCAGCAGUGGGGAAUUUUCCGCAAUGGGCGAAAGCCUGACGGAGCAAUACCGCGUGAGGGAGGAAGGCUCUUGGGUUGUAAACCUCUUUUCUCAAGGAAGAAAAAAAUGACGGUACUUGAGGAAUAAGCAUCGGCUAACUCCGUGCCAGCAGCCGCGGUAAUACGGAGGAUGCAAGCGUUAUCCGGAAUGAUUGGGCGUAAAGCGUCCGCAGGUGGCUGUGAAAGUCUGCUGUUAAAGAAUGAGGCUCAACCUCAUACAAGCAGUGGAAACUACACGGCUAGAGUGCGUUCGGGGUAGAGGGAAUUCCUGGUGUAGCGGUGAAAUGCGUAGAUAUCAGGAAGAACACCGGUGGCGAAGGCGCUCUACUAGGCCGCAACUGACACUGAGGGACGAAAGCUAGGGGAGCGAAUGGGAUUAGAUACCCCAGUAGUCCUAGCCGUAAACGAUGGAUACUAGGCGUGGCUUGUAUCGACCCGAGCCGUGCCGUAGCUAACGCGUUAAGUAUCCCGCCUGGGGAGUACGCACGCAAGUGUGAAACUCAAAGGAAUUGACGGGGGCCCGCACAAGCGGUGGAGUAUGUGGUUUAAUUCGAUGCAACGCGAAGAACCUUACCAAGACUUGACAUGUCGCGAAUUCCUCUGAAAGGAGGAAGUGCCUUCGGGAACGCGAACACGAGGUGGUGCAUGGCUGUCGUCAGCUCGUGUCGUGAGAUGUUGGGUUAAGUCCCGCAACGAGCGCAACCCUCGUUUUUAGUUGCCAGCAUUCAGUUGGGCACUCUAAAGAGACUGCCGGUGACAAACCGGAGGAAGGUGGGGAUGACGUCAAGUCAGCAUGCCCCUUACGUCUUGGGCUACACACGUACUACAAUGCUACGGACAAAGGGCAGCUACACAGCGAUGUGAUGCAAAUCCAAAAAACCGUAGCUCAGUUCAGAUCGCAGGCUGCAACUCGCCUGCGUGAAGGAGGAAUCGCUAGUAAUUGCAGGUCAGCAUACUGCAGUGAAUUCGUUCCCGGGCCUUGUACACACCGCCCGUCACACCAUGGAAGCUGGUCACGCCCGAAGUCAUUACCCCAACUUUUCGGAGAGGGGGAUGCCUAAGGCAGGACUGGUGACUGGGGUGAAGUCGUAACAAGGUAGCCGUACCGGAAGGUGUGGCUGGAUCACCUCCUUUUUAGGGAGACCUACACCCCUCAAAACUCGAAAGCAAAAUGCCAAUAGAGAUUGAGUUGGUCUAACCUGGUCGGUCGAGAUUGGUAAAAGCUUUCAAAGUAUUUCUGGUUCAUUUCAUCAUAGUUAUAACAAAUUGAAUCGAGCAGAAAAAAUUCAGCAAACAUGGCUUAAUGCCAGACUGCUGGGUAUAGUCUCAGCCAGAACCUUGAAAACUGCAUAGUAACGCGAAAUUAGCAAGGCAGACGCAGACAUUCAGUUGAAUGAUUGUGUUUGCAAAGGUGAAACACCAAAUGUUAAGUUGGUCAAGCUAAUAAGGGCUAACGGUUGGAUACCUAGGC